Molecule: transfer RNA, 67 nt
Filed under: Lepinotus reticulatus
Lineage: Eukaryota; Metazoa; Arthropoda; Insecta; Psocodea; Trogiidae
Description: tRNA-Ala
Source: RNAcentral
UGGGAUGAAGUUUAUUCAUAAACAUUUAAUUUGCAUUUAAAAAUCAAUUGCGAUCCAAUCUUCCUAU